UGCCAGCAGCCGCGGUAAUACGGAGGGUGCAAGCGUUGUUCGGAAUUAUUGGGCGUAAAGCGUGCGUAGGCGGGUGACUAAGUCUGAUGUGAAAUCCCUCGGCUCAACCGAGGACGUGCAUUGGAUACUGGUCACCUUGAGUCCUGGAGAGGAUAGCGGAAUUCCCAGUGUAGAGGUGAAAUUCGUAGAUAUUGGGAGGAACACCAGUGGCGAAAGCGGCUAUCUGGACAGUGACUGACGCUGAGGUACGAAAGCAUAGGUAGCAAACAGGAUUAGAUA
RNAcentral lists this ribosomal RNA (279 nucleotides) under uncultured bacterium. RNAcentral's name for it is "partial 16S ribosomal RNA". It matches the Rfam family "Bacterial small subunit ribosomal RNA", at positions 506 to 784 of the family's 1533-position model. The record is from RNAcentral.